RNAcentral lists this ribosomal RNA (273 nucleotides) under Pichia kudriavzevii. RNAcentral's name for it is "partial 28S ribosomal RNA". It matches the Rfam family "Eukaryotic large subunit ribosomal RNA", at positions 1 to 275 of the family's 3401-position model. The record is from RNAcentral. Lineage: Eukaryota; Fungi; Ascomycota; Pichiomycetes; Pichiales; Pichiaceae.
GCUCGACCUCAAAUCAGGUAGGAAUACCCGCUGAACUUAAGCAUAUCAAUAAGCGGAGGAAAAGAAACCAACAGGGAUUGCCUCAGUAGCGGCGAGUGAAGCGGCAAGAGCUCAGAUUUGAAAUCGUGCUUUGCGGCACGAGUUGUAGAUUGCAGGUUGGAGUCUGUGUGGAAGGCGGUGUCCAAGUCCCUUGGAACAGGGCGCCCAGGAGGGUGAGAGCCCCGUGGGAUGCCGGCGGAAGCAGUGAGGCCCUUCUGACGAGUCGAGUUGUUG